GCCAGGAGUGGUGGCACAUGCCUGUAAUCCCAGCUACUGGGGAGGCUGAGGCAGGAUUGCAAGUUCGAGGCCAAUCUCAGCAAUUAAGUUAGAUCCUGUCUCAU
RNAcentral lists this small RNA (104 nucleotides) under Marmota monax (woodchuck). Lineage: Eukaryota; Metazoa; Chordata; Mammalia; Rodentia; Sciuridae. The record is from RNAcentral.